Long non-coding RNA from Gorilla gorilla gorilla (western lowland gorilla), 180 nucleotides. RefSeq lists it as uncharacterized. Lineage: Eukaryota; Metazoa; Chordata; Mammalia; Primates; Hominidae. The record is from RefSeq and is a predicted model, not a curated record. The transcript is spliced from 3 exons.
AUCCCAGACCAAAUGUCAUUUUCUGAGAUGUCUUCUCUGGCCCUUUCCCCAUCCUGGAAUUAAAUAAUAAUUAUGUUGAUUGAAUGCACACGGCGUAUGAAGUGACCUGGUGUCCCAGGUGAUUCUAAAGUAUAGCCAGAGUUGAGAACCCACUGGAAUCAAGGAUUGAAUAAGAGCAGG